UCCCUGGUGGCUCAGAUGGUAAAGUGUCUGCCUACAAUGCAGGAGACCCAGGUUCAAUCCCUGAGUUGGGAA
Molecule: transfer RNA, 72 nt
Filed under: Bos taurus (domestic cattle)
Lineage: Eukaryota; Metazoa; Chordata; Mammalia; Artiodactyla; Bovidae
Also listed under: 4 other names
Rfam family: tRNA
About the family: Transfer RNA (tRNA) molecules are approximately 80 nucleotides in length.
Source: Rfam by way of RNAcentral